GGUUGAGCACAGGGUACUUUAUUGAUGGUACAUGACAAGGUGCGGCUCCCUAGGCCCCUCCCCUCUUCAAGGGGUCUACAUGGCAACUGUGAGGAGGGGAGAUUCAGUGUGGUGGGGGACUGAGUGUGGCAGGGACUCCCCAGCAGUGAGGGUCUCUCUCUUCCUCUUGUGCUCUUGCUGGGGCUGGUGGUCCAGGGGUCUUACUCCUUGGAGGCCAUGUGGGCCAUGAGCUUGACAAAGUGGUCGUUGAGGGCAAUGCCAGCCCCAGCGUCAAAGGUGGAGGAGUGGGUGUCGCUGUUGAAGUCAGAGGAGACCACCUGGUGCUCAGUGUAGCCCAGGAUGCCCUUGAGGGGGCCCUCCGACGCCUGCUUCACCACCUUCUUGAUGUCAUCAUAUUUGGCAGGUUUUUCUAGACGGCAGGU
Homo sapiens (human) is the source of this 422-nucleotide long non-coding RNA. The record is from Ensembl. NCBI's taxonomy places the organism in Eukaryota, Metazoa, Chordata, Mammalia, Primates, Hominidae.